This 305-nucleotide ribosomal RNA is filed under the name uncultured bacterium. RNAcentral's name for it is "bacterial SSU rRNA". It matches the Rfam family "Bacterial small subunit ribosomal RNA", at positions 338 to 660 of the family's 1533-position model. The record is from RNAcentral.
CCUACGGGAGGCAGCAGUGGGGAAUAUUGCACAAUGGGGGAAACCCUGAUGCAGCGACGCCGCGUGAGUGAGGAAGUAUUUCGGUACGUAAAGCUCUAUCAGCAGGGAAGAAAAUGACGGUACCUGACUAAGAAGCCCCGGCUAACUACGUGCCAGCAGCCGCGGUAAUACGUAGGGGGCAAGCGUUAUCCGGAUUUACUGGGUGUAAAGGGAGCGUAGACGGAAUUGCAAGUCUGAUGUGAAAAUCCGGGGCUCAACCCCGGAACUGCAUUGGAAACUGUACUUCUAGAGUGUCGGAGAGGCAA